RNAcentral lists this long non-coding RNA (5752 nucleotides) under Oncorhynchus mykiss (rainbow trout). RNAcentral's name for it is "lncRNA (ENSOMYG00000061718.1)". Lineage: Eukaryota; Metazoa; Chordata; Actinopteri; Salmoniformes; Salmonidae. The record is from RNAcentral.
UGCUUACAAGCCAUUCCCAACGAUGCAGAGUUUAAAAAAAGAAUAACAAUUAAAAUAGUAACACUAGAGGAAUAAAAUAAAAUACACAAGAAUGGAGCUAUAUACAGGGAGUACCAGUACCAGAUCAAUGUGGAGCUAUAUACAGGGAGUACCUGUACCAGAUCAAUGUGGAGCUAUAUACAGGGAGCACCAGAUCAAUGUGGAGUUAUAUACAGGGAGUACAUGUACCAGAUCAAUGUGGAGCUAUAUACAGGGAGUACCAGAUCAAUGUGGAGUUAUAUACAGGGAGUACAUGUACCAGAUCAAUGUGGAGCUAUAUACAGGGAGUACCAGAUCAAUGUGGAGUUAUAUACAGGGAGUACCAGAUCAAUGUGGAGUUAUAUACAGGGAGUACCAGAUCAAUGUGGAGUUAUAUACAGGAAGUACCAGAUCAAUGUGGAGCUAUAUACAGGGAGUACCAGAUCAAUGCGGAGCUAUAGACAGGGAGUACCUGUACCAGAUCAAUGUGGAGCUAUAUACAGGGAGUACCAGAUCAAUGUGGAGCUAUAUACAGGAAGUACCAGAUCAAUGUGGAGCUAUAUACAGGGAGUACCUGUACCAGAUCAAUGUGGAGCUAUAUACAGGGAGUACCUGUACCAGAUCAAUGUGGAGCUAUAUACAGGGAGUACCUGUACCAGAUCAAUGUGGAGCUAUAUACAGGGAGUACCUGUACCAGAUCAAUGUGGAGCUAUAUACAGGGAGUACCAGAUCAGAUCAAUGUGGAGCUAUAUACAGGGAGUACCAGUACCAGAUCAAUGUGGAGCUAUAUACAGGGAGUACCAGAUCAAUGUGGAGCUAUAUACAGGAAGUACCAGAUCAAUGUGGAGCUAUAUACAGGGAGUACCAGAUCAAUGCGGAGCUAUAGACAGGGAGUACCUGUACCAGAUCAAUGUGGAGCUAUAUACAGGGAGUACCAGAUCAAUGUGGAGCUAUAUACAGGAAGUACCAGAUCAAUGUGAAGCUAUAUACAGGGAGUACCAGAUCAAUGCGGAGCUAUAUACAGGGAGUACCUGUACCAGAUCAAUGUGGAGCUAUAUACAGGAGUACCUGUACCAGAUCAAUGUGGAGCUAUGUACAGGGAGUAUCUGUACCAGAUCAAUGUGGAGCCAUAUACAGGAGUACCUGUACCAGAUCAAUGUGGAGCUAUGUACAGGGAGUACCUGUACCAGAUCAAUGUGGAGCUAUAUACAGGGAGUACCUGUACCAGAUCAAUGUGGAGCUAUAUACAGGGAGUACCAGUACCAGAUCAAUGUGGAGCUAUAUACAGGGAGUACCAGAUCAAUGUGGAGCUAUAUACAGGAAGUACCAGAUCAAUGUGGAGCUAUAUACAGGGAGUACCAGAUCAAUGCGGAGCUAUAUACAGGGAGUACCUGUACCAUAUCAAUGUGGAGCUAUAUAAAGGGAGUACCUGUACCAGAUCAAUGUGGAGCUAUAUACAGGGAGUACCUGUACCAGAUCAAUGUGGAGCUAUAUACAGGAGUACCUGUACCAGAUCAAUGUGGAGCUAUGUACAGGGAGUAUCUGUACCAGAUCAAUGUGGAGCCAUAUACAGGAGUACCUGUACCAGAUCAAUGUGGAGCUAUGUACAGGGAGUAUCUGUACCAGAUCAAUGUGGAGCCACAUACAGGAGUACCUGUACCAGAUCAAUGUGGAGCUAUGUACAGGGAGUAUCUGUACCAGAUCAAUGUGAAGCUAUAUACAGGAGUACCUGUACCAGAUCAAUGUGGAGCUAUAUACAGGGAGUAUCUGUACCAGAUCAAUGUGGAGCUAUAUACAGGGAGUACCUGUACCAGAUCAAUGUGGAGCUAUAUACAGGAGUACCUGUACCAGAUCAAUGUGGAGCUAUAUACAGGGAGUAUCUGUACCAGAUCAAUGUGGAGCUAUAUACAGGGAGUACCUGUACCAGAUCAAUGUGGAGCUAUAUACAGGGAGUACCAGUACCAGAUCAAUGUGAAGCUAUAUACAGGGAGUACCAGUACCAGAUCAAUGUGCAGAGGUACAAGGUAUUUGAAGUAGAUGUUUACAUGAAGGCAGGGUAUAGUGACUAGGCAUCAGGAUAGAUAAUUAUAAGAGUAAAAUAAAGAACAGAGUAACAGCAGCAAAUGAUGAGUGUAAAAGUGCGUGUGUCAAAUGUGUAUGCAGGUGGGUGUGUUUGUGUUGUAUCGAUAUGCGUGUGUAUUUUGUGUGUGUGCACAUGUAGUUUAUGUGAAUGUGUGUGGGUUCGGUGUGGGAGUGUCAAUGUAGUGUGUGUGAGUGAGUGUGUACUGUAUAUGGUGUGUAUACACUGAGUAUACCAAACAUUUGGAACACCAUCCUGAUAUUGAGUUUUCCUCUCCCCACCUCUAAAGCUUCCCACAAGGAUGCUGGCUCAUGUUGACUCCAAUGCUUCCCACAGUUGUGUCAAGUUGGCUGGAUGUCCUUUGGGUGGUGGACCAUUCUUGACACACUCAUGAAUCUGUAGAGCGUGAAAAGCCAUGGAGCUCUCGACACAAACCGGUGCACCUGGCACCUACAACCAUACUCCAUUCAAAGGCACUUACAUUUUUUGUCUUUCCAUUCAUUCUCUGAAUGGCACACAUACACAAUCCAUGUGUCAUUUGUCUCAAGGCUUAAAAAUCCUUCUUUAACCUGUCUCUUCCCCUUCAUCUAUACUGAUUGAAGUGGAUUUAACAAAUGACAUGAAUAAGGGAUCAUAACUUUCACCUGGAUUCCCCUGGUCAAUCAUGUAAUGGAUUGACGACUGUUGUGUCAUCAGCAAACCUGAUGAUGGUGUUGGCCGUGUGUGGCCACGCAGUUGUGGGUGAACAGAGAGUACAUUAGGGGACUAAGCACACACCUAUGAGGGGCCCCCGUGUUGAAGGUCAGCGUGGUGAAGGUGUUGUUGCCUACCAACACCACCUUGGGCCGGCCUGUCAUGAAGUCCAGGAUCCAGUUGCAGAGGGAGGGGUUCAGUCCCAGGGUCCCUAUCUUGGUGAUGUGCCUGGAGGGGACCAUGCUAUUGAACACUGAGCUGUAGUCUAUGAAAAGCAUUCUCACAUACUGUAGUUAUUUUCUCUCUUGUCCAGGGGAGAGGGCAGUGUGUACAAUUGAGAUAGGGUCAUCUGUUGAUCUGUUGGGGCGGUAUGCGAAUUGGAGUGGGUCUAGGGUGUCUUGGAUGAUGGUGCUGAUGGGUGUCAUGACCAUGUUUGUUUUGUUGGAUUAAAAAAGCAGAUGUGGAAUAAACCAACUGUUCAAAACCUUGCUUAUGUAACACACACUAGUUCAAGAAUGGGCGAAAUACGUUUUUUUUUUACAGAAAUUCACACCAUGCUAGACUGAGGCCAGAUAUACGUUGCACAGUCAACAUUCUAGGUGAAAAUGACAGAAUUUCUCUUCUCCUCCACUGUCUUACACUUUUCCCCUCAUCUUUCCUGCAGUUUCCAUGGCAACUCUGUGUUGCAUGACUGGUUGUCAGCCCACUCAGGCAAUGCAGUACUGCGCAGUACCCUUAGUGUGAAGUCAGAAAUAAAACAUUCUCUCCGUUCAUUUCACCAUCAUACCAUCUCACCACCACAACAGCUGAGAGAGAGAGAGACCCAGGCACUUCCCCCUCAGACUUCAUGUGUCCCCUAUCACUGCUAUGAGCUCAUACUAGUCCAUUCUCUCUUUAGCCCUCCAAACCCUGGGUGAGUUGUAGCCUAGGUUUUUAUGAACACAAGCAUAGUUACUGUAUAUCAAUGGGCACUGACCUCAUUAACUAAUACCAUGUAAACCUGAACCUCACCCUCCGAAGCAAAUUAAGUUUUAUGCUUUGUUCACUACAAACAAGACAUCCUUAAAAGGCUGUGUAUUUCAAUAGGAAAGGAAGUAAAGCACUAAAGACACUGGAUCUGGAUUAGAGAGUAAUAGCCUGCUGUGAGUUCUGGAGAUAAUUAAGAUGAAAAGAAAUAGAAUGGAUAACGGAAUGGUUUUACAGGAGGUUAUGCAUCAGGACUGCCUUAACAAGAACCAGUAGAGGAUGGCUGAGUUGGAUCCUGUUUGGGAGAGUCAGAGAAGGGUCAUAUUUCAAUAGCAUCUCCUCUCCCUAGCAUGAUAAUGGAAGACGGCAGUUCUACGAUCCUGUUACUGUAAGAAGAUAAACUUUUACAAGGGUAGGGUCAGUGAGUCAGCAUUUAGAGCCUCUCGUUUGACAAAGCAAGAAAUAUCCUGAGCCCCCGCUCUGCAAUAAGACAUAGAUGAGACAAUGUGUCUCGUCUGUCUCCUCUUCUCUCAGGCCCUAAUGCAAAUGUGUGUUCAGCACACUGAUUCAGUAUUAUAAAGCCAUUCACAUGCUGUGAUGCGAGAUUAAUGGUCUCAAUAAAAGUGAAACACACUGGCAAUAAAAGCAAUUGAGGCUCUCUGGUUUGAUGGGAUACUGCUCCUUAAACCAUAUCACAUGACAAAUUGUCAUGGGGGGGGGCAAAGAAAACAAAACAUCAAGAACAACUCAUUAUAACUCCACAGAAAAGUGGAAUUGACAUUCCUGUAGGUCCUUGGCUAUUGUUCGUAGAUAUAGUAUCAGAUGCAUUUUUGUUUUUCUUUAUUUCUGAGUAUGGGGCUGAACAUAUUCGUCACAUUCUUGGACUUAUGGAUAGGCUACACUCACUGGUUUAUUGAGUGGUCUUCAUUUUUCACUGUGUUGCGGUGAUAAACUGCAGGAACAGAAAUACCAAAGUAGGCCAGUGUGAGGCAUUCUGGGAUGCCAGGACACCCCCUGGGCUUCUACAGAAGAAGACAUCUAUUUAAUAUAGCUUCCAUUCAUUCCACAUUGUUUCAUUUUAAAGGUAAAUUCUCAAAAUUAAAGCAUGUUUACAUCCUGUCAAUACUUCAGUUUAAUGUUAUGACUGCAUAGAAUCGAUGAAACAUAUAAAAGUGCUUUCCACACAAUCUUAAAUAAGCAUGCCCCAUUCAAAAAAUGUAGAACCAGGAACAGAUAUAGCCCGUGGUUCACUCCAGACCUGACUGCACUUGACCAGCACAAAAACAUCCUGUGGUGUACUGCAUUAGCAUCGAAUAGCCCCCGCGAUAUGCAACUUUUCAGGGAAGUUAGGAACCAAUAUACACAGGCUGUUAGGAAAGAAAAGGCUAGGUUUUUCAAACAGAAAUUUGCAUCCUGUAGCACAAACUUCAAAAAGUUCUGGGACACUGUAAAGUCCAUGGAGAAUAAAAGCACCUCCUCCCAGCUGCCCACUGCACGAUAAUUUCAAUAAGCAUUUUUCUAAGGCUGGCCAUGCUUUCCACCUGGCCACCCCUACCCUGGUCAACAGCCCUGCACCCCCCACAGCAACUUGCCCAAGCCUCCCCAUUUCUCCUUCCCCCAAAUCCAGAUAGCUGAUGUUCUGAAGGUGCUACAAAUCUGUAAAUAGCCCAUCCAACUACCUCAUCCCCACACUGUUUUUUUUAUUUUUUGCUCUUUUGCACCCCAGUAUCUCUACUUGCACAUUCAUAUUCUGCACAUCUAUCACUCCAGUGUUUAAUUGCUAAAUUGUAAUAGGCCACUAUGGCCUAUUUAUUGCCUUACCUCCCUUAUCCUACCUCAUUUGCACACACUGUAUAUAUACUUUUUUUCCUAUUAUGUUAUUGACUCUAUGUUUGUUUAUUCCACGUGUAACUCUGUGUUGUUGUUUGUGUCGCACUGCUUUGCUUUAUCUUGGCCAGGUCGCAGUUGUAAAUGAGAACUUGUUUUCAACUAGCC